UAUUCUGUGUGUUCAUGUGUGAGUGUGUC
This 29-nucleotide non-coding RNA is filed under the name Mus musculus (house mouse). The record is from RNAcentral. Lineage: Eukaryota; Metazoa; Chordata; Mammalia; Rodentia; Muridae.